CGCUGGCGGCGCGUUUAAGCAUGCAAGUCGAGCGGCAAGGGCCUUCGGGCCCCUAGAGCGGCGGACGGGUGAGUAACACGUGGACAAUCUGCCCCCCGGCCCGGGAUAGCCCAGGGAAACCUGGAUUAAUACCGGAUGAGACGGGACCCGCGAUGGCGGGACCCGGGAAAGGCGCUGCGGCGCCGCCGGGGGAUGAGUCUGCGUCCCAUUAGCUAGGCGGCGGGGUAACGGCCCACCGUGGCGACGAUGGGUAGCCGGCCUGAGAGGGUGGACGGCCACAUUGGAACUGAGACACGGUCCAGACUCCUACGGGAGGCAGCAGCUAAGAAUCUUCCGCAAUGGGCGAAAGCCUGACGGAGCGACGCCCGCGUGAACGAAGAAGGCCGUGAGGUUGUAAAGUUCUUUUCGGGAGGGGGAACAACCGUGGCAGGGAAUGGCCGCGGGAUGACGUGAAUCCCGGAAUAAGCCCCGGCUAACUACGUGCCAGCCGCUGC
RNAcentral lists this ribosomal RNA (494 nucleotides) under uncultured bacterium. Its description in RNAcentral is "bacterial SSU rRNA". It matches the Rfam family "Bacterial small subunit ribosomal RNA", at positions 34 to 518 of the family's 1533-position model. The record is from RNAcentral.